AGGUCGGAACUUGUAAUAAGAAGUUAGGUUUUGGACUUCACCCCCUGAAAUAAGAAGUCAAGCUUCGCUUCAGCCCCCGAUAACCCUAGCCCUCUUUGUUCCCAUCUUCGCCGCUGAGCACCCUCGUUCCCAUCUUGCCAUCUUCGCCGCUGAGCACCCUCUCUUCGCAGCACGACCCCUCUGAGCACCCUCUCUUCGCCACUGAGCACCCUAAAGCAACGUUCUCUCUCUCCCUGAACUCAAAACUCUCUUAUUGGUUGGUACAGGAAGGAACACCUAGGACUCUUCUCUUCUCAGCUCAUUCACGCCCGGUCAAAAGCUUCCCGUCUCAACAACAUCUAGCCAUCGUCUAUUUUCUUCCCUUUCAUUUCAGGUAGACUUCUCCUUUUUUUUUUUAUCUGGCAAUUUGGUGGUUUGUUUGUUUUUUGUUUAGGCAUUAUUCUUCUUUGAAUUUGUAUCCAUAGAGCGGUAAUCGGCAGCCGCCAUUGACUGUUCUACAGUAAAACCCUAACCCUAAAUCAACGUUCUCUCUCCCCUUGAACUCAAAACUCUCUGUUGUGAGUUUCAAAUCAGUCCCAAAUUCCAAUCUCUCUCUCUCUGUCUCUCUCUCUCUCUCUCACACACACACACACACACACACACACACCAACCCACCAUCAAACCCCCAAUUCAGACCUUUAAUCAGGUACUUGUUUGUUCUCUCUCUCUCUCUACACACACGGUAUUUAUUUGUUUCCAAAUUUUUAUUUUUGUUUCAUGUUUUGGUGUUUUUUGUUGUUACUUGUUUUUUUUUUUUCAUUUUCCUUAUGUUUUUGUUUUUUGGGUGUUGUGUUUAUGCCAAAUGUGAAUUUGGGUUUACUGUAUAUUAGUUAAUUUGCAACAAUCAGGUAUCCCCUAGUUUGCAUUAUGUAUCCCCUAGUUUGCAUUAUGCUCUGUCGUGAUGCUUUUUUUCCUUUGUUGGAAAUAAAUUAUAAUUUUGAUCAAAGUAAAAAACUAGAUCAUAUGAAAUGCUGGGUUUAUGAUUUUUUGUUUUUGUUUGUCUCAAAUUUUGUAUUUUUUUUUGCUUUUGAUUUAUGUCUCUUCUACAUGCUGCUAUGUUGCUUUUGGUUGUUUCUGAUUUUUUCUUUUAGUGCAUUGUGUCGUCCAUUUUUUUUGUAAAAGUUGAAUUGGGUUACAAUAAAUGAGUUAAUUUUUAUGCUUUUUAUGUGUGCCUCUUUUAUUGUGUAACAAUGUGGUUUGGAUGAAAAUUAAGAUUUAUUUUAUUUUCUCCAUUUUAUGGGGUUAUUUUGUGUAAUAUAUAUCGGUUGUUAUGUGGAAAGGUUCCCACUUUCUAGCUUUGUGUAUGUAUUUUUGUUUCUGAAAUCUGGAACUGUAUUAAUUUGAUCAUAUAUUAAAAGUUUAAAAUUUGUUUUAUUCAAUGAUGUCUCUGCUAAUGGUGAUUGUAAUUAGUAUAUAUUUCCUUGUUUUGAAUCUAAAUUAUAUUUUUAUGGGGUUUUUAUGUUUUGAAGUUUUGGUUAAAUUCCGGCUUUUUUUUUGUGGGUUUUUUACCAUUUUCAGACCGUUGUUUUAUCACAUUCGGAGUUUAUGUCGACUUUAGUGCGUAGAUCCUAACCAUUUGAAUGAUAUUAGGGCUUAUUUGGUUGUUGGAUUCUAUUUGGUUUUUUGGGGCAUUUUCACUUGAGAGUAGUUUUUCAACUCUUUUGAUCAUAUAAUUCUAAAUUGGUAAAGUUUUCGUACAACCCAUAUAAGCCACAUUUUUUUUAUAAACAAAACAAAAAUCAGGAUUUUGUUAAAAGUAUUAUUGUAACUAAAAAAAAGAAAAAGUUAUAUGGCUGGUUUUAAAAAUAGAAAAUAAUAAUUAUUGGUCUGUAAUAGUCCACAAAGAAUCAAUUAAAAACAUUUGAUUCAAAUUUACAUGUAAGUUUUGAUUUUUCAGUAGAUAAUUUCUCAUCUUAGGAGUUGAGGGUUCUUAGGCUUUAUAAUUCUAUGGUGAACUCUCCUCUUCUACUCAUGUUUCUUUAAUAAGAAUUUUUUUCAUGUAUUUUUCCCUCAAGAAUAGUGUCUUUUUCUUUGUGCACAUCAAUAAUUGUACAUGCAACUAUAGGUAUUUUUGUUUGAUUUGGUUUAAAGAAAUUUCGUCAUCCCCAAAAUUUCAUGAACACUGAAAGUGCGAAAUCAAGGAUAAGUUUUCGCGAGUGCUUCAUAAUACAAUAUUUAAUGUCAAUCUCUAUCCUUAAGUAGUUUUAAUUAUCACUAUUGGGUUGAGGUUGAAUGUGGUUAACUUGUAACCGACUUCAUUGAACAUUAUAUUGGUUUUUUAUUUGCUUCCUGCCCUUUAUUGGAUUUUCAUUUUCCUUUGAUGUUGAUACUAUGAGUUUGUUAAGGUUUUGGUCCAAUGUUCAUGUCUCUACUGGUAAAGACUCCAGAGCAUUGGUUAAAAAUCGCCUGAGUUGACUCUGGACUUGACGGAGUCGAUUUGGAUUGGGUGGUCUUGGCCAAGUGUGGAUCUUUUGUGUUUAUUUUUUUAGGCACUUGGAAUCUUAUAAAACCUUGUAGGAUCAUAUACCAAGUUGACUUAGCUUGAUAGCAAGUGUUGACUCAUGUAAACAAGAAAUGCAUGAAUUAUUAACAUUUUCAUUUUCUUCACUGAAUGGUUUCAUUUGUUCCAAGUAUUUCAUUGAAAUUGCUUUGCUAAUUUUUUUUGAAAUUGCUUUGUUAUGCAGCUAUGAUGUGGGUUCAUGAUGUCUGAUAUAUUUUUUCUACGAUACACAACUAUGAUGUGGGUUUGUUUAUUUCUUUUUAUGCAAAGAAGAAAUGCAUGAAUUACCGACUUUUUCAUUUUCUUCACUUAAUAGUUUCAUUUGUUCUAAGUAUUUAUUGAAAUUGCUUUGCUAUUUUUUUAAAAAUUGCUUUGAUAUACAGCUAUGAUGUGGGUUCAUGAAAUCAGAUUUUUUUUUUUUAAAUUGCUUUGCAAUGGAUGUGCGGUGCUCAAUACGAUGGACCCAUACACAUGAUCCAAUGCGGCAAAUGAGAGCAUGGGAGUGAAGAGGUCCAUCCAAUGGACAUAGUUAAAAGAGGACUACUAUAUUGAACUAAUGGAGAAGGUGCCAUGAUAAAUAAAUAUGGGUCAAGAAACAAUGAAAGUAGGCUGAAAAGCAAACAUAAGUUCUUAGGACCAUGUACUUUGAUAUCAAGAAACUUAUGAAUGUAUCCGGUUUCGGAUGAGAUGAUCGUAGAAGGAUAGUAACCGUCAAGGUUGCUGUUUGGAAUGACUUCCUAGCGGAGAAUGAAUGGGCAAACAAAUACCAAAACAAGACUUUGCCCGAGUAUUCGGUGCUAAGUAAAUCUGUUAGGGUGGAACGGCAGAUGGGACAUACAAAUCCAUUGGGGGUGGCGUCAGAAUUGAGCCAGAAAGGCCCAACAUUGCAUUAUCUGGUGACCCCCCAUUAGAAGUCUAGGAUGAAUCUAGCUCAUCCUCAUCUGAUGAGCUAGUAUCAUCUGGAUAAAAAAGACGAUGGUCUCAUACUUCGAUAGGAGCACAUCACCGAUCAAAGCAACUCAGGGCAUUGAGACGUUGGCAUGUGACAAGCCUCCAGUAGAGUCCAAGGCUAGGAGAGAUGCCUGUAAAAUUGUUGAAGGCAUGUGGAAAGCAGGCGAAGUUGGUGAUGAUGUCCUUUUAAUGGCUGCAAGGAUCUUCCAAGAUUCUACAAAGGCGGAGAUGUUACUAAACUUGGAGGAUCCAAUGAUACAAAAUGCUUACUUAGAUGACGAGAUAAAAUGCCUUCAAUAGAGUUCUAAUUUCAUAUGUUUAAUUUUAACAUCAAAGACUGUUACUUUCAUUUGUAGGUGGAUGACUUAUGUCAUUUUAAUGUCAAAUAUUGCUUCAUGGUUUGCUUUACAGAUGAUGACUUCUUUCAUUUU
Molecule: non-coding RNA, 3921 nt
Organism: Amborella trichopoda
Lineage: Eukaryota; Viridiplantae; Streptophyta; Magnoliopsida; Amborellales; Amborellaceae
Source: RefSeq, a predicted model, not a curated record